Molecule: unclassified non-coding RNA, 1628 nt
Filed under: Hevea brasiliensis (rubber tree)
Lineage: Eukaryota; Viridiplantae; Streptophyta; Magnoliopsida; Malpighiales; Euphorbiaceae
Source: RNAcentral
CAAAAGAAUACAUUUAUAAUAAGUUGAUACAGCACCAGAUAAUGGUAAUGACCACCCACCUCCCUUGAUGUAUUAUCUAUAAUUUGCCUCUGAUUUCUCUCUCUGCAGUAACCGCCUCUUCCUCUUUAGAUAUGGAAUCAGCAAUGAACCUUCCAUAAACCAAACUGAGGUAGAUACAAAUUUUUCAAGCACAAGACUUGACAGUGCUAUCUGCGCUUAUACCGUGAUUUGCUCUUAAAUGAAUUCUUGGACUUUUUGCUUCCCAUUCCACCACUGCUUUUCUUCCGCUUUUUCUCGGUCAUGUCACUUUGGAAUAGUUCCCGCAUCUCUUCAGUCCUUGAUUGAGUUCUUUCAGGAGGACGCUUCGAUUUUUUCUUCCCUGCCUUUUGCACAAUCUUGCCUGCAUCUAGUGCCCUCUUCACAGCCUUCACUGCUUUCGCCCGUCGGUAACCCAGGUCAACCAGUGACAUCCCAGUCUUCUCUUUCUUAUUUAUUCCAUUACCUUCUGAUUUCUCAAUAUGAUCUUCAUCCUCCAACAUCUCUCUGGCUGCUUGUAAUUUUCGACGCUUCUUCCGGGGCAAUUUUUUCUCACGCUCACGCUUCCUCUUUUCCUUCAAUUUAAGAUCUUCAGCCUGUUGGGCACUCAUAACCUCAUUCCCAGAACCUUUUUCUUUCUCUUUUGAUGCCUUUGCUGCUUUUGCUGCAAGCUUCUUCUCUUUCUCUGUUACAAACCAUGUCCUUUUGGGGCGUGCAAAAAUUUCAUCCUUGUGCGUAAUCAUAUUCUCUGCCUUUGUUGCUUCCAUUUCAGCUUUUCUUAAAGCUCUCUCUUCCCUCUCUUCUUGAAGAAUGGCAGCCACUUGAUCUUCCAUUUGAUCAAUUAUCUGAGACCACUUAGCAAUUGAUUGCUCUGCAACAAUACGGCUCUUCAACUUUGAACCAGCUCUUUUUGCAAUGGCUUUUAAAAGAGAACGAUCAUUAUCUGACACAAAUGUUACAGCAUAACCUUCUCUACCAGCUCUUGCCGUACGACCGACCCUAUGAACGUAGCUUGUCAGAUCACGAGGACAUGCAUAAUUAAUAACUGUUUGAACACCAAUAAUGUCAAGUCCACGAGCAGCUACAUCAGUAGCAAUCAAAAAAUCGACUUGCUGCUUCCUGAAAAGUUCCAAAGCAUCAAGACGCUGGACUUGUGUAAGAUUUCCAUGGAGCUCAGCAGCUUUAAAGCCAGCUAAUCCAAACAAAAUCUUCAACCUAUGUGCAGCUUGCUUAGUACCACUGAAGAUUAUCACUUUAGAUGUAAAAGUUUUUGAACACAAGGCAAGAAGAACAGCCUCCUGAUUCACCUCACGCAUUCUGCGGACCCUGACCACCUCUUCAGUCAAUGUAGCUGGUCGUUUUGCAGAUGGGUCAGCUGAGAGACGCAGUGGUCUAGUCAGAGAAAGUUUGAUAAGCUCAUUAAUUUCUUCAGUCAUUGUAGCUGAGAAGAGCAUGGUCUGCCUCCUUUUGGGACAUAACUUAACCAGUUCAUGAAUUUCAGCACUAAAUCCAAGUUCCAGAAGGCGAUCUGCUUCAUCAAGGAUUAAAACUGCAAGAUCAUCCAAAUCCACAGACAUAGAAUUGCGUAAAUG